This 472-nucleotide unclassified non-coding RNA is filed under the name uncultured fungus. RNAcentral's name for it is "sequence contains ITS2". The record is from RNAcentral. Lineage: Eukaryota; Fungi.
AACGCAUAUUGCACCCUCUGGCAUUCUGGAGGGUAUGUCUGUUUGAGAACCGUCGUUUCUAUCACUGCGUUCAGUUCUAAACAUUUGUUUAGUCCUUGUACAAGGUGGAUUUGGCCCUGUCACAUUGUCACAACUGUGUGGGCUUAAAUGAAUUGAAUGCAAACUUCCUCCGUCACUUGCAAGAGUGGUGGGGUACAGUGCUACCAACAACAAAAAAACUCUUUUAUUCUUGACAAGAGAAUCGUUAUCAAUAAGAGGUUAUAUCUAUAACCUCUUUUGGGCCAUUCUUGAAGGCAGGAAUUCUUGAGUAAAACCGGUGCUGUGCUAGCUGGAGUUUCAUCUGCUGACAGAAAAGCAAUUUUCUAAUAUGCGCAGACAGAAAACAUGUGUGUGUGGUAACACAACUCACAUCCCUCUUCUGUUAUACUGCAACAUUGGUCUCAAAUCAGACAAGACAACCCGCUGAACUUAA